This 497-nucleotide ribosomal RNA is filed under the name uncultured bacterium. RNAcentral describes it as "partial 16S ribosomal RNA". It matches the Rfam family "Bacterial small subunit ribosomal RNA", at positions 28 to 507 of the family's 1533-position model. The record is from RNAcentral.
GAUGAACGCUGGCGGCGUGCCUAAUACAUGCAAGUCGAGCGAACAGACGAGGAGCUUGCUCCUCUGACGUUAGCGGCGGACGGGUGAGUAACACGUGGAUAACCUACCUAUAAGACUGGGAUAACUUCGGGAAACCGGAGCUAAUACCGGAUAAUAUAUUGAACCGCAUGGUUCAAUAGUGAAAGACGGUUUUGCUGUCACUUAUAGAUGGAUCCGCGCCGCAUUAGCUAGUUGGUAAGGUAACGGCUUACCAAGGCAACGAUGCGUAGCCGACCUGAGAGGGUGAUCGGCCACACUGGAACUGAGACACGGUCCAGACUCCUACGGGAGGCAGCAGUGGGGAAUCUUCCGCAAUGGGCGAAAGCCUGACGGAGCAACGCCGCGUGAGUGAUGAAGGUCUUCGGAUCGUAAAACUCUGUUAUUAGGAAAGAACAAAUGUGUAAGUAACUAUGCACGUCUUGACGGUACCUAAUCAGAAAGCCACGGCUAACUACGUG